This 526-nucleotide long non-coding RNA is filed under the name Phasianus colchicus (ring-necked pheasant). RNAcentral's name for it is "lncRNA (ENSPCLG00000007940.1)". Lineage: Eukaryota; Metazoa; Chordata; Aves; Galliformes; Phasianidae. The record is from RNAcentral.
UAUAAAGUAACCUGUGGAACUGACUUGCUAAAUAUUAAAUAUUCCAUUAUGUUCUAGAUGUAAAAUUAAAUUCAAGGACAAAUGAUUUUUACGGUAUCAUUUGUCUGUGUUCUGAGAGAGAUUAUGAAACUUAUUAAAUCAUAAUGAUGCUUCAGCUAGGCAAAAGCUCAGAAUUUGUAGGCCCUCUUUGGGCAUAAUAUUGACUCUCCUUUGAAACUGGACAGGAAGAAGAAAAUGCAUUGAAUUCAUGUGCCUUUUUGGAUGCCGUGCUCUACUAUUCUACAGUGCUUCAUAAAACUAUGUGAGAUGUGCCCAUGCUGAUUCACCUGGUCUGCAGUUAGCAUCUAUCAACAAAACUGCUACCUGCACCUUCAUCUGGAGGGAAUCCAGAGCAAGGAAAUCACAAGCAAAUACUGAGAGGAUAUCUUCAGAAGAAACAGCAGCUAAGCUCCUGUACAGCCCAGAUGCUCAGCAUGGGCCUGUCUAAGCCUUUAUGCUGUAAUGGGAGUGUCAUGCAGCCCCUUCA